GAGGGAGGGAGAGGGAGGGAGGGAGGGAGAGUGGCUGCUCUUCCAGAGAUCCUGAGUUCAAUUUCUAACAACCACACACAUGGUGGCUCACAAACACCUGUUAUGGGAUGUAUGUGCAUCUUCUGGUGUGCAAGAAGACAGUUACAGUGUACUGUAAAAUGAAUAAAUAAACCUUUUAUUUUAAAAAGCCAGAGUCCAGUCAAUCUGCUUCUAGGGCUACAUCUUUGACCAGGGCAUUCUGCUUCGAUGAAGGCUUGUUGGACACUCCAGGACAAGUGGUCUUGGUCCUCUGGAGCUUCUGCUAUCUCCUGGUAGAGACAGAACUAGUUUCGUCAGAGUGGGAAAGUUCUAUGAAUUGUAGAAGUAACCCACUCUGGUAGAAUGUUGGCCAAGAGAAGGCAAAGAAAGCUUCCUCAAGUCGGAUAGAUUAGGGACAGAUUUACAUAAGAGUUGAAAAUCUCAUUUCCGGGGCUGGUGAGAUGGUUCAACAGGUAAGAGCACCCGACUGCUCUUCUGAAGGUCCUGAGUUCAAAUCCCGGCAACCACAUGGUGGCUCACAACCAUCCAUAACGAGAUCUGACUCCCUCUUCUGGUGUGUCUGAAGACAGCUACAGUGUACUUACAUAUAAUAAAAAAAAAAAAAUCUCAUUUCCAUAGGUACUAACUUAUCUUACUGUAAGAAAAGUGAGCUCUCAGCUGGUUGUGGUAGCUCAUACAUACCUGUAAUCCCAGCACUUGGGAGGCUGAAGGAGCUCAAGUCCAGCCAGGGGUACCUGGUGAGCAAGACCCAGUCUGGAAAACAGAUGGAAAUACCCCAAAAUCUUAUACUUCAUAGAUAAAAGGCAACAAAACAUGUUCUAUCAAAUUUGACACUGGUUUUAAAAUAUACACAUUGUUAUUAUGAAAUUAAAACUUUUUUUUUUUGGUGUUUUUGAGACAGGGUUUCUCUGUGUAGUCCUGGCUGUCCUGGAACUCACUUUGUAGACCAGGCUGGCCUCGAACUCAGAAAUCCACCUGCCUCUGCCUCCCGAGUGCUGGGAUUAAAGGCGUGUGCCACCACGCCCGGCUGUAAAACUUUUUUUAAACUACCAAUGUUAAAAAAAAAAAACAUUGGCCAGGUGGUGACAGCACAUGCCUCUAAUUGCAGCACUCAGGAGGCAGAGGCAGGCAGAAGUCCGAGUUUGAGGCUAGUCGGGUCUACAGAAUUUCAGGACAGCCAGGGCUAUAUAGAGAAACCCUGUCUUGAAAAUCCUAUAAGUAAGUAAGUAAGUAAGUAAAUUAAUUAAUUAAUUAAUAAGAAAAAUUAAAUAAACGAGCAUAUUUGUGGGGCCAGUGAGGGGCUUGAGUGGAAAACACACCAGCCAUCAAUCUGAGGAUCCAAGUUAGAUCUCCAGGCCCCGUAUAGUGGUAGGAAAGAACUGACUCCUGAAAUUCAUUCCCUGACCUCCAAUCAUGCAUUAUGGCGUGCGCACACACACACACACACACACACACACAGAGAGAGAGAGAGAGAGAGAGAGAGAAAUUUCUGUCAACCACAGUAUUGAGAAUUGAAUACUACUUUUAUUCCCUCUGUAGUAGAAGACAUUAUCAUCUCAUGCUUCGGUGGCAAAAUAGAAGCCAUCAGCUCCUAAGAAUUAUUACAGAGAGGGGCAUUGUAGCACUUCCCUUUUAAUUUUAGCAUUUGGGAAUUUGUCUAGAAAACCAAACCAACAAACCAAACCAACCAACCAAACAACUGUUACAGGGCCUUUACCUUCCCACUGGCUUCUAUGUGUUUGUUUGUUUUAAACUGUGUCUUCCUC
Molecule: long non-coding RNA, 1805 nt
Filed under: Mus musculus (house mouse)
Lineage: Eukaryota; Metazoa; Chordata; Mammalia; Rodentia; Muridae
Description: long non-coding RNA chrX:151034029-151035834
Source: RNAcentral